Molecule: long non-coding RNA, 4588 nt
Organism: Panicum virgatum (switchgrass)
Lineage: Eukaryota; Viridiplantae; Streptophyta; Magnoliopsida; Poales; Poaceae
Exons: 3
Source: RefSeq, a predicted model, not a curated record
GCGUCCCCAACCUCCUCCCUCUCCGGCGCCGCUGCUCGUUCAGCCCCUCCUCCCCUCGCCCCUCCACUGCCCCUCUCCCUCCCUCCUCGUGCCGAGCUGCAGCGACGAGGCCGGGAUCCAGGGCCCCUCGCCGUAUCCAUGGCGGGGCGGUGGAGGCCCGCGCGGUCGCGCGGUGAAGGCACGCCAUGGCCGCAGCGCCUUCGUCUCUGCGGAGGAGCAGGGGCCCGCCAUGGCCGCGGCGCGCGGCCGUCCUCCCUCUCCCUCCUCUCUCUCUCUCUCUCUCUCCCCCUGCUCCCAUCCUCGCUCGCUCCGCCGGCCUCCCUCCCUCCCCGCGCCGCCGCCAGCCGUCGCUCCCUCCCUCCCCGCGCGGCCGCCGGCCCUAGCUUCGCCCUCCCCGCCACCGACAAGGACAACCGAGGUCGGCGCCGGCGCCGCUCGCGCCGCGCGGGCUCUCGUCCUCCUUUCCCCCUCCUCCUCGGCGCUCCUGCGCAGCGCGGCGCUCGCGCGGCCUCCUCUCCCCACCGGCUCUCUCCUUCCCGCCGCUGCCCCAUCCCUGUGCCGCCGCCUCACCACGCUAGACGGUAGCGGGCAGCGACGGCGCCACCGGGUUGCGGUGUGGCACCAACCGCGUGCCCGGGCGGUGUCCGGCACCGACCGCUGCUCCACGCGAGCAGGCGCCGCUGGUGGCCGCCGGCGUUGCUGCCCCCCUCCCGGCGCUGCCUGCUCCCGUAGUACUGACGUGGACACCUCCAGAGCUCACGGAGCCGGCAGUCCCGACGUUCCACCCCAGCGAAGCGAAGGCGGCUGCGACCAAGGCGUUGACGGCGGCGGCAGGUGGGCGGCUCCCGACGGCUCAACAGCCAGGACGCUCAUGGCCGUGACGACCAUAGUUUGCCCGACGCACAAGGAGGCGGUCGCUCUGUAGCGGUAAGUAUCUUCGCUUCCGCAGCUUCCUUCUUCCCUGACACCUCUCUCUGCCUCAUGUUUUUCCUCAGAUCUAGCCAGCGCAGGCAGCUCGCGCCCGCCGAUGGCGGCGGCGGAGCACCGGCCCGUGCACAUAGGUGGGUGCUGCAGAGCACCGGCCCACGCGCACCGCAGGUGGUUGCGGCUUUAGCUACUAUUGGCAUUCCUUCCGAUCCUUCGAGCUUGCCUCCAUCGCCGACUUCUCAUCGUUGACCUCACCUUCGCCCGGGCGCCCUCGCCGCCUCCUCGCCGACCCUCUCUGUCUCCUGGUCCACCUCUCUGCAGCUCUCCUCCGGCUUCCCGCUCAAGCCGAUUUGCUGGAUCUCCGGCGGGUGCCGCCCUCCGCACCCUCUGCUCGUUGCUAACCGCUAUCUGCUAUGCUCCUCGAUUAGGAGGGGCCAAACUGAUCUAUGGAUUAAUUGCUCCUCUCUCCAGGCCAGGCAUGGUUAGCCUUCUGCGGAAGGAAUCUUAAGGCUGCACCACUAUAUAGGUAAUCCUUGAACAUUUCUUUCAUAUUCCCUUUGUCUAACUGCAAAGUUUAGUUCACUUGUGUACUAAGAUGUGUUAUUGCUGUCAAUUUUCAAGAUUUGGUAUUUGAAUUGUAGUAGUUGUUAAUUUGCUCCCUUUUGACUUCUUGAUCUACCUUGCAUAUACAAGAAAGUGCUGAAAAUGGAUCCGUGCUUGCCAAGCUACUUACAAUUUUCAAAGGUUUUUCUCCCUGCUCUCAUUUCUAGAGUGCCUUUACAUGUACACAAGCGGCUUCAGGAUGCUCUAAUAGAUUUGCAAGAGCUACUAUUGACUGCCUAGUUGCAAUUAUUACACAUAUUUGAUAAGAUGUCAGGGCCAAGCCUCUUCAACUCCUUUACUUCUGAGUUCUAUCCUUCCCUGGUAAGAGGUUGCUUUCCAAUGAUUUUGCAUUAGCAGCUAUUGUUAUUGAAAAAUUAUGUCUAGGGAGAUGCCAUCUUAGUAACACUGCAUAUUUACUUCGUCUUGAAAUUAGGUUCUUGCUAUCCCUGUGUUUCCCGUGUUAAGCAAGGUUAAAAUUUGAUGCUACUUGAGAUGAUCUGAUAGAUCUGCAUGUUUAGAACUGAUUGGUACUCAAAAUAUUCAUGACAUCUGAAUAUUUAAAUAUCUAUCUUAUGUCCAAAAGUCUGAACAUUAGAUAGGGUGCCUCAUGUAUGCACCUCCAAUUAGAUUGGACUGUGGGUAGCCACAGCUGAUAUAUUUGCGGUCUGAACUAUGGUUUCCAUGUGCUAAGAAAAACAGUGGACACAUCAUUUGAUGUUGGAGAUAAAUUGAUUAUGAUGAAAGAGAACAUAAGCACCUAAGGAAGCAGGUUUUCCUACCUGCUCCAUUGGAUUCUUAUUACUGAUACACUGUUGUUGAAUAUCUCCAAGCUAAUAAAGAAUUGAACUGAAACUUCAAAAUGAGACAAAAAAAUGGUAUUCGUAUGUCUAAAAAUAAUCAAACAAUUUGUUGCUAUGUCCGCCUUAUAUCCAUUCUGUAAUAUACUCACAUAUGCAUGUCCUGUUUACACUUUGUCUUAAUGGAACUUUUUCCUGUAUCUUAUGUUCAACUUAAGUUAAAAGGAUUGAGAACCUCAGUGAAAGCCUGGUUAACCUUCCAUUAUCAAUGCAAGUGGGAUUGAGUGGAGCUGCUUUGUAGUACCAUUUUUCCAUAGAAAUUUUGUUCUAGGCAAAAUGAUUAACCUUUUUAAGUCAGGGAACAUGACAUGGACUUUGACUGCUGAGGUUCCUACUGAAAUAUCACUGAAUGAAUACCACUUUUUAGCAAUCCUAUUAAAUUUACAUAUCUGAUUGGACCUGUUGGCGAAAUUGUACUUUCAGUUUAGCUCCAAGCAAUUGCUCUGAAUGCUGAACAAUUUCUGAAAAUUGAAUGAUAGGGAAAAAUUUCUUUUGAGAAAUGCAUCUACAUGUUGUCGACUGUUGUUCUACCACAGCUCUAAUUGGCUAAAGCAAAUUUCAUAUACGAAAGAGAAGGCUCAGCUCAGACUUGCACAGUAGUUUCUUAUCCAAAGUUUAAAAACAGUAGCUUUUGAGUGCAGACUCAUUAUUUUUCAUUUUGGUGCAGGUUCAUAGCAGAUUUUUCUUUGAUAUGGACUAUUUGAAUAUAACUAACCAAAUGCAAUUUGUUGCCUCACUAUCAUUGCCAAUGGUUAGUUCUGAUUUAUCUUCAUAUAAUUUUCUUUGCCUUACCAUGUGUGUUCCCUUAAGAUAUAAAUUUAUUUCCCUUUUGCUGGUUGGACUGGGAAGGAGGUAUUCUGAAGGUAGUGAGAUGUAUGUGCCUUGUUGGUUUCAAGCACCACAUUAGUUCUGUUCAGCUAGAGGUUGCCUCCCAUUUUCUUGGGAUGAUUCCUGUUUAACAGUAAUAUUUAAUUUCCUUCUGCCAUCUGCUUGAUUACAAGGUCUAAUCCUUUGGAUUUGUUUCUUCUUUUUUAUUUUCCAUUUCCAUUCUUAUUUCUGGAGAAGAGAUUGACAACCCUUUCAAACUCUGACUUCCUUCAUGGUGCACGUAUUAUCAUAUUACUUUUGACGUGUCAUGUAAGUAUGUAAGGGUUCCUCAACUUAUCUUAAAAAAGUAAACCACCUGCAGAUCCUUACUAAUUAUCUUUAUGUUUUGGGUCCAUAAGAAGCUCCAGCUUAGGCUUGCACAACAAAGAGAAUAUAUGAAGAGAUUAAAUACUAUGUAUAUGAGCCAAGGACAAUCAGUCCCAAGCAAAAAUAAAUCACCCACCACAAAAAAAAAACUUUCAUUCAUGUACCAUUUGUGUGAUUAUCGUGCAUCAUUCUCUAUUGAAAUCUAUGUACACAUAUGUAUCAAUAUGUAAUUUUUUCCUAGAAGGCUACCCUACUUUCUUGUUGUCUACUAUUUAUAAAUAAUGAUGUACAGCCAGAUGGAAUCACAUGAAAAAAAACAUGUACAGAAAGGGAGAGAGAAAGUAAUUUCUUUCAAUUUUGCAAUUACUUUUUUUACUGGUUGAUACCUGAUUUGAUUUUCCAAUUAGGAAAAUGAGUUGCCUCUUCCUCCUCGACUCCAAGCAACUCGAGAUGUCGUGAUGGUGGCCUGGGCGGUGUGUUAGGGCAACCACGCAUCAGCAGCAGACAGUUCAUCUAAGCCAAGCUGUCCAUCUAAAGCCAAGCUCAAGUUGCUCGUGUACAAACCAUGUUUGCAGAGACGAGGAGCGGCAUCAACGAGGGGAAUUAGCUCUGUACAACCUCAUACUAAAAAUGAAAUCUGGAACAAUUGAGAUUUUGCCAGCGGCUAUCAGGUGAAACAAGUCCCAAUCAAUCGUGUGCUCCCAAUCUCAUCAGAAUAAGGAAGCAACUAUGUUGAUGCAGCAUCAACUUCUAUCAUCAAACAAAACAUAAAUAUACCACCUCUUGUCUAAACUUUUGCAGGAUGUAAUGUCUAUAUUAAGGAGAAACCAAACCACUCUUUUCAGACCAUCCCAAAACAGCUGCAACUACAGCUCGAUUUUAGAUUAUGUACUUGGUAGUUUCUAGCCUUUUACUAGAGCACCAAAUGUGUGUUGUUGUAAUAUAAAUGUAAUAUACUGUCUAUUAUAAUUCCCUAUAAAUAAUGUAGAAUAUUAAUAUUAUAGUUA